This 329-nucleotide unclassified non-coding RNA is filed under the name soil metagenome. Its description in RNAcentral is "partial contains 5.8S ribosomal RNA, internal transcribed spacer 2, and large subunit ribosomal RNA". The stretch from base 1 to 120 matches the Rfam family "5.8S ribosomal RNA", at positions 35 to 154 of the family's 154-position model. The record is from RNAcentral.
GAUGAAGAACGUAGCGAAUUGCGAUAAGUAAUGUGAAUUGCAGAAUUCAGUGAAUCAUCGAAUCUUUGAACGCACAUUGCGCCCCUUGGUAUCCCGAGGGGCAUGCCUGUUCGAGCGUCAUUUCACCACUCAAGCCUGGCUUGGUGUUGGGCGACGUCCCCUUUGGGGACGCGCCUCGAAACGCUCGGCGGCGUGGCACCGGCUUUAAGCGUAGCAGAAUCUUUCGCUUUGGAAGUCGGGGCCCCGUCUGCCGGAAGACCUACUCGCAAGGUUGACCUCGGAUCAGGCAGGGAUACCCGCUGAACUUAAGCAUAUCAAUAAGCGGAGGA